UCUAGAACAGCAAAGAUGCAGCCAUCUUCUACUUCUGCUUGUGCUCCUGGGAUGAGUACUUCACAACUUUAUGAAUGGGAGAGUGUCUUGGGAAUUGUCGUGGCUGUGCAGUUGAAUGAAACAGGCAUUUCAGUGAUGGAUAUAUAAAGUCAAUAAGGGUCCAAUAUGUUGUUAUGGAAUUUAAACUGCCUAAGACUGAACUGAAGAGUUAACUGUAAAAUAUGUAUUCUACAGACGGAAUGGAAAACUGCAUUUCAGUAACACGGUAUGUCACCUAUUUGACGAAAGUGUUUACUGCUUACAUGUGUCCUCUACCAUUGGUUUUAAGUCG
Molecule: long non-coding RNA, 331 nt
Filed under: Columba livia (rock pigeon)
Lineage: Eukaryota; Metazoa; Chordata; Aves; Columbiformes; Columbidae
Description: partial uncharacterized LOC102087957
Source: RNAcentral